CAUGGACACAAAAUCAGAAAAUCAGGCUCCUUUCCCAGCUGUGUAGCUUACAACAUUUUUUCCCAUCCUAUGCCUCAGUCUUCUGCCAUUUAAACUAAAAACACUGCUCUGAAGAAGAGGAAAAUCACCGCGAAAAAAAUAGCACAACAUUUCUUUUUUCGCAACAGUUGCGUUACGCGUUAAAACGUAACGCUCUUACUUCCCCGCGUUUUCCCACGCACCCAGGUCGUUUCAAAAAGAAAGUCGUCACUGGCGGCACCCACGCACGGCGACGACAUCAGGCUGGGUAUCAGGGCUCGAGCAAGAGGCCCGAAGCGCCGGUGGCUGCACCCAGGGACGGCUGCGCGCCCGCGCCGGACCAGCGGGUGAGGCAGCAGCUCUCACCACCAACCACCACGGCCCCCAGGGCCUCCCCAACCCUACGCAAACCAUCCAGAUGAGAUGAAAAGAAAGUGCAGCUCUCACCACCAACCACCACGGCCCCCGGGGCCUCCUCAACCCUACGCAAACCAUCCAGAUGAGAUGAAAAGAAAGUUCAGCAAGUGCUUCGGGCUGGAAGGAGCUUACAUGCAAGUUUAUGUCAGCUGGAACGUAUUUUGGAUCUUGAGAAACACUAAGUAGGAGCCACUUCUAGCAGCUCUUUUCUACGCACAGCUCAGGCUUGGCUUGCCUGCUCAUUGCUACACCCAUAAAAUUAUGGUUUUGAUCAACUUCUUCAGAACCCUUUUUUCUCUCUGAAGUUUUUCCGUUUCCCCAAGAAGCGCUGCUCUAAUCACACGAGGACCAAGAACGCAAGGUUUUCUCUACCCUGGAUUAAUCCCGACGCAGCUAUCGUGCUGGCAAUAAGUGAAACUACCCUGGUGCAAACAGCAGCUGCAGCAAGGGGAGAAAUCACAGUUUCCAUCAGCUGAGUGUGCCCCUGAUUUUGACUCAAGUAAUGUCAUCUAAUGUGAAGUAGGAGCCUGCAUCAGCCCAGCUGCAUCGGUUACUGACCACAAAUGACUUAAUCCCCAGUAUAAACAAGGCCUAACGCUAAAACUCAUUUGCCUAUUCCCUCACAGCUUCCUACUCACAGUUCACGGAAGAUCACUGCUCCUGGUUCCCACGACUGGAGAGUCAGGAUCAAAGGCUUACAGAGAAAAAAUAUAAAGCUUUUUUAAAUAAAAAAUAAAAAAUCAGGUUACA
This 1185-nucleotide long non-coding RNA is filed under the name Struthio camelus australis. RNAcentral describes it as "lncRNA (ENSSCUG00000014029.1)". Lineage: Eukaryota; Metazoa; Chordata; Aves; Struthioniformes; Struthionidae. The record is from RNAcentral.